RNAcentral lists this long non-coding RNA (1576 nucleotides) under Phoenix dactylifera (date palm). RNAcentral's name for it is "long non-coding RNA (PDAC_LNC005562)". Lineage: Eukaryota; Viridiplantae; Streptophyta; Magnoliopsida; Arecales; Arecaceae. The record is from RNAcentral.
UGGAAAGUGAUGCCUACCAACAAUUACAUCUUCGCUAGUAUGGGAGUAUAGAAAAUAAUAAAUAAAGGUAGGUAGGUUAGCAAAAACGUAGUAAAAUAAAAAAUAAAAAAAACAAAGGGGAGAAAGAGCUCAUCAAUCAAGGUACGUCCCAAAAUGUAUGUAUCAUGACAAUAUAUGUCUAACCUCACCGAGUCAUACCAUAUUACAAGGAUAUAUAUAAUAAUGCAUCCAGAAUGCAAAAUUUUUAAAAUAUAUAAAUAAGUUUUUUAGGAGGGAGAAGAAGCAUGGAAGGGAAGGAAAUUCUUUUUGGUUGUUAAAUUGCGUGAGAAGUUUUUUUGCAAUCAUGUGACGUAGAAAUAGUCAUUUGGAACGGGGGGACACAUUUGAAAUAGACCCAUACUUACGGAUCAGCUGUAUCCUCUCUAUAGAGUGAAAUUUUUAUCCCAUCAAGUUCGGUGUUGAGUUGGUAAACUAGUUCAUUCAUAAAAUAAUACUGACAAAUACAUGUAUAUCAUGCCUUUUUUUUUUCUAUCAUGUUAAUGGUACUUCUAGUCCAACCAAUAAUUUUUCUUGCAGACAUGCACGCAUGGGGCACGCUUUCAUCCCAAUGAAGCCAAACAGGUUUAGCUCUUGACUUCCUCCAUCGCACCCCAUUUCGAUACGUUAUCUUCCUCGACACGAACGGCUUUAUGGGUUCUUGAUCUGGCAAAUUUAUUACGGUAGGAGAAGCAUUUAGAUAGCAUGCAUCUACGCCACGACAAAGACCUCUGUACUAAUGAUAGCACUAUUUAUCACUUUUAGUUAUGAUCUUAACCUUGAUUUUGGAAUCGAUAUAUUUUACACAGAUAAUUCCAUGGGAUUUUUUUUUUCUUUUACCAAGUUUCUUAGUUCUAGAUAUUAAAAUUAAUUCUUCUAAUAAUGAACAACCGUUCUUGUUCUUUAUUAGUUACUAUAUGAAUUUCUCGGAUAUUUUGAUCACCUUAGAUUUCUCUAGUAUUUCGUCCAGGUCAAAAUAAAGCAAUUUUUGGAUCCAUAUAUUUAUUGUUUCAAGCACCAAGAUGAUUGAGAAAGUAGUUUUUGAUGGUCAUAUCUAAAAUUACAGUGGCCUCGGUAAAUCAUUAUCCCCCGGCUAUCACACGUUAGAUGUACAUGUAAAGCCUAAAUUAUGGAAAUUCUCGUCAUCAUCGUUCUUUGUGCGAGGUGGUAUGUAUCGGUAGUACGAGGGCUGCGAGUAAUGAUUGGGUGACGGGCGAAUUGGAGAGCGCAGCGUGGGCACCGGAGGACCACGAGGAUAAGGUUAGCCCCGCUCAGGUGUCGCUUUCGGACCAACCGCCCGGCCAGGCCGCGGACGUACGUCCCGCGUCGCGCCUCUCUUUAUCCCCAGCCGCUCCCCUCUUGGCCAGCCUAAGAAAGAAGACAUCCAGGGAUGUUACAUGGCAGUCCCCAGAGAUACACCUUGGCCCCAGGCCUCACAGCUUGCAUCUCCUACUGUUUUGUAGAACUUAAAUAGUAUUUUCGGUUGUGUUUCUUUUCUUUUUUUUUUCUUUUUCUCACAAGGUCGAGCAAAUAUAUUUAA